Long non-coding RNA from Cyprinus carpio (common carp), 507 nucleotides. RefSeq lists it as uncharacterized. The record is from RefSeq and is a predicted model, not a curated record. The transcript has 3 exons. NCBI's taxonomy places the organism in Eukaryota, Metazoa, Chordata, Actinopteri, Cypriniformes, Cyprinidae.
GAUAUGGCUAGUACCCCUUCUUCAGUGUAAAGUGUCUGCUGCCCACACUACUGAAAGUGACGAGUGAGAAAACAGCAGUUAAGAAAGCAUUUGAUAACAGUAAUGUGGAUAUGUUCGCAUCAGCUUUGCAGUUCAGCACUCCAGUCCAACUGAACAGAUGAGAUGAGCUGGAUUUCCACAUCAAAGGAGGCGGAGCUCCAGAGCCACACCUACCUAUUACUUAAUUGCCAUGGACCAAUAGAAAUUCAAAGGUGCUUACCAGCGAAACCUUGCGGAAAGUUCACUUUGGCAAGCUGUUUUGAAGUCCUGAAACAAGCUCCAAAUGAACUUUUUUAAUGUCCUGAUUUUGUUCAAAUGUCACACCAAUUUGUUCUUUGAUUUCGCAGGUACUUUAGGGGUCAUUUAAAUCCAAAAACCUAAGUGUGCAAAAGUAAUACUGAUAUUUGCCUUAAAGGGAUAGUUCACCCAAAAAUGAAAAAUUCUGUCAUUAAUUACUCACCUUUAUGU